AGUGAACGCUGGCGGCGUGCUUAGCACAUGCAAGUCGAACGAGAACGGAUUAUAGCUUGCUAUAAUUGUCAGCUAAGUGGCGCACGGGUGAGUAAUGUAUAGGUAAUAUGCCUCUUACUAAGGGAUAACAAAUGGAAACGUUUGCUAAUACCUUAUACUCCUUAUUAACAGAAGUUAAUAAGGGAAAGAUUUAUUGGUAAGAGAUUAGCCUGUAUUGUAUCAGUUAGUUGGUGGGGUAAUGGCUUACCAAGACUAUGACACAUAACUGGUUUGAGAGGAUGAUCAGUCACACUGGAACUGAGACACGGUCCAGACUCCUACGGGAGGCAGCAGUGGGGAAUAUUGCACAAUGGACGAAGGUCUGAUGCAGCAACGCCGCGUGGAGGAUGACACAUUUCGGUGCGUAAACUCCUUUUAUAUGAGAAGAUAAUGACGGUAUUAUAUGAAUAAGCACCGGCUAACUCCGUGCCAGCAGCCGCGGUAA
This 484-nucleotide ribosomal RNA is filed under the name uncultured bacterium. Its description in RNAcentral is "partial 16S ribosomal RNA". It matches the Rfam family "Bacterial small subunit ribosomal RNA", at positions 29 to 523 of the family's 1533-position model. The record is from RNAcentral.